This is a non-coding RNA of Oncorhynchus mykiss (rainbow trout), 622 nucleotides long. The record is from RefSeq and is a predicted model, not a curated record. NCBI's taxonomy places the organism in Eukaryota, Metazoa, Chordata, Actinopteri, Salmoniformes, Salmonidae.
AGAGAAGAAGAAGAUUACGUGAGGAACUUUUAUUUGGAAAAUGUCGGAAAUUCCGUGACCCGGAAGUACUGUUUUAGCUUUGCUGACGAUACUGUUGAAGAAAGAUGGCAGCAGCAGGAAGAGCAAUUGUGCAGUCCAAGAGGUGCUGAAAGUGGGAGUUGCUGCAGCACAGCAGUCCAGUGGUACACACAGUUCACCUUUGACCUCUGCACCAUCACCCUUGACUCGCCUCCCGGGAACCUCAGAUACCGCUGCAACUAUCAGAGAUCGUCCCCAGAGGUAUCGAAGAAGGAUAGUUGGUCCAGAGGAGAUGGAGUACAUCCAGUGUGGUGGACCAGAGUAACAGACAUCUUCACUAACCUGCCAAACCAUUCUCUAGAUAUUUAUUCAGUACUGUAUAGCUUUUUAGGAGCAUAACUGCCAGAGAUUCCAAUAUAAAUGCACAAAGAAACAUUUAUCUCUAGAUCCUGUUGGAUCAGAGUGCUGAAAUGUUUAUUUUUAUGUUCAAGCAGUGCUGAUAAUCUCAAAUGCUUUUUUGAAUGUAUUGUGAUAUGCGAUGGGAAGUAUGUCAUUAUGGGGAAUUGCGUGUAGAUGGGUAAUAAAAAAAAUCAUAUUUAAUCAA